Molecule: non-coding RNA, 28 nt
Filed under: Bombyx mori (domestic silkworm)
Lineage: Eukaryota; Metazoa; Arthropoda; Insecta; Lepidoptera; Bombycidae
Source: RNAcentral
UUACGUUGUAAUGUCUAUGGGCUCCGGU